UACGAAGGGGGCUAGCGUUGUUCGGAAUUACUGGGCGUAAAGCGAACGUAGGCGGUGUUCCAUGUCAGAGGUGAAAGCCUGGGGCUCAACUCCAGAAUUGCCUUUGAAACGGGGACGCUUGAGUCCGAGAGAGGAUGGCGGAAUUCCUAGUGUAGAGGUGAAAUUCGUAGAUAUUCGCAAGAACACCAGUGGCGAAGGCGGCUGACUGGUCCGGUUCUGACGCUGAGGCGCGAAAGCGUGGGGAGCGAACGGG
This 253-nucleotide ribosomal RNA is filed under the name uncultured bacterium. Its description in RNAcentral is "partial 16S ribosomal RNA". It matches the Rfam family "Bacterial small subunit ribosomal RNA", at positions 524 to 776 of the family's 1533-position model. The record is from RNAcentral.